GAAUUUAUCUCGCAAAGUACGAGAGCACCUGGCCGAAAUCAUGUAAUAUAACAAUGAGUUCUAUUACAUGUUCCGGGUAGGAGCUGUCGAAGAUGUGAACUUUGAUCA
Molecule: microRNA precursor, 108 nt
Filed under: Caenorhabditis brenneri
Lineage: Eukaryota; Metazoa; Nematoda; Chromadorea; Rhabditida; Rhabditidae
Description: pre miRNA CBN33828
Rfam family: mir-246 microRNA precursor family (bases 21-90)
Source: RNAcentral